This is a non-coding RNA of Pelobates cultripes (western spadefoot toad), 436 nucleotides long. The record is from the annotation of a GenBank genome assembly. NCBI's taxonomy places the organism in Eukaryota, Metazoa, Chordata, Amphibia, Anura, Pelobatidae.
UGUAUUUUUAUUUUAUUUUUAUUUUUAUUAACACACUAAGGGUUAAAUAUUUAGUACAUAAUUUUCUUAGGAACGAUCCUUAUGCUGUCAAUUGCAAUUAGUCAGAUGUAUAUUUAUAACCAGCACAGACUACUGAAUCCUUAUUCCGUCUCUGAUGAAGUGGGGCUGACACCCACGAAACGCGUUAGACCAUAUCAGACUGAGCAGGAUACGGACGCAGAAUUUUGAAGCCAGCAACAAGCAACCUCUUCUUACCGAGAGUGUGAUAUCCAAAGAUCUGGGGACCGAUUGGCCAACAAGCGUGGGACGCACGCCAACCUCACAGCCGACAGCCAGAGAUUACAGUUUAUGCAACACUGUAUCCACAUCCAUCCCUGCGGUUUAUCUGAUACAAGGACUGCCUAAGUGCUGGUAAUAUUCUUGCAAUACGUUCCUG